ACACGUGGGCAAUCUGCCCUGCACUCUGGGACAAGCCCUGGAAACGGGGUCUAAUACCGGAUACUGAUCCUCGCAGGCAUCUGCGAGGUUCGAAAGCUCCGGCGGUGCAGGAUGAGCCCGCGGCCUAUCAGCUAGUUGGUGAGGUAACGGCUCACCAAGGCGACGACGGGUAGCCGGCCUGAGAGGGCGACCGGCCACACUGGGACUGAGACACGGCCCAGACUCCUACGGGAGGCAGCAGUGGGGAAUAUUGCACAAUGGGCGAAAGCCUGAUGCAGCGACGCCGCGUGAGGGAUGACGGCCUUCGGGUUGUAAACCUCUUUCAGCAGGGAAGAAGCGAAAGUGACGGUACCUGCAGAAGAAGCGCCGGCUAACUACGUGCCAGCAGCCGCGGUAAUACGUAGGGCGCAAGCGUUGUCCGGAAUUAUUGGGCGUAAAGAGCUCGUAGGCGGCUUGUCACGUCGGUUGUGAAAGCCCGGGGCUUAACCCCGGGUCUGCAGUCGAUACGGGCAGG
Molecule: ribosomal RNA, 514 nt
Filed under: Streptomyces enissocaesilis
Lineage: Bacteria; Bacillati; Actinomycetota; Actinomycetes; Kitasatosporales; Streptomycetaceae
Description: bacterial SSU rRNA
Rfam family: Bacterial small subunit ribosomal RNA
Source: RNAcentral